AGAGUUUGAUCCUGGCUCAGAACGAACGCUGGCGGCGUGCCUAACACAUGCAAGUCGAACGCGAAAGGGGGCAACCCCCGGUAGCGUGGCAGACGGGUGAGUAACACGUGGGUAACCNACCCCGAGGUGGGGGAUAACCCUCCGAAAGGAGGGCUAAUACCGCAUGACACCUGGAGGUCCCUGGACUUCCAAAUCAAAGCUAGCCUCUGCUUGCAAGCUAGCGCCACGGGAGGGGCCCGCGCCCCAUUAGCUAGUUGGUGAGGUAACGGCUCACCAAGGCGACGAUGGGUAGCCGGCCUGAGAGGGCGAUCGGCCACACUGGAACUGAGACACGGUCCAGACUCCUACGGGAGGCAGCAGUGAGGAAUAUUGCGCAAUGGGCGAAANGCCUGACUGCANGCGUACGCCGCGNGA
Molecule: ribosomal RNA, 414 nt
Filed under: uncultured bacterium
Lineage: Bacteria
Description: bacterial SSU rRNA
Rfam family: Bacterial small subunit ribosomal RNA
Source: RNAcentral